AUUGAACGCUGGCGGCAUGCCUUACACAUGCAAGUCGAACGGCAGCACGGGUGCUUGCACCUGGUGGCGAGUGGCGAACGGGUGAGUAAUACAUCGGAACAUGUCCUGUAGUGGGGGAUAGCCCGGCGAAAGCCGGAUUAAUACCGCAUACGAUCUACGGAUGAAAGCGGGGGACCUUCGGGCUUCGCGCUAUAGGGUUGGUCGAUGGCUGAUUAGCUAGUUGGUGGGGUAAAGGCCUACCAAGGCGACGAUCAGUAGCUGGUCUGAGAGGACGACCAGCCACACUGGGACUGAGACACGGCCCAGACUCCUACGGGAGGCAGCAGUGGGGAAUUUUGGACAAUGGGCGAAAGCCUGAUCCAGCAAUGCCGCGUGUGUGAAGAAGGCCUUCGGGUUGUAAAGCACUUUUGUCCGGAAAGAAAUCCUUGGCCCUAAUACGGUCGGGGGAUGACGGUACCGGAAGAAUAAGCACCGGCUAACUACGUG
RNAcentral lists this ribosomal RNA (486 nucleotides) under uncultured bacterium. Its description in RNAcentral is "partial 16S ribosomal RNA". It matches the Rfam family "Bacterial small subunit ribosomal RNA", at positions 30 to 507 of the family's 1533-position model. The record is from RNAcentral.